UAGGGAAUCUUCGACAAUGGACGGAAGUCUGACCGAGCAACGCCGCGUGAGUGAAGAAGGUUUUCGGAUCGUAAAGCUCUGUUGUUAGAGAAGAACGUUGGUAGGAGUGGAAAAUCUACCAAGUGACGGUAACUAACCAGAAAGGGACGGCUAACUACGUGCCAGCAGCCGCGGUAAUACGUAGGUCCCGAGCGUUGUCCGGAUUUAUUGGGCGUAAAGCGAGCGCAGGCGGUUCUUUAAGUCUGAAGUUAAAGGCAGUGGCUUAACCAUUGUACGCUUUGGAAACGGGAGGACUUGAGUGCAGAAGGGGAGAGUGGAAUUCCAUGUGUAGCGGUGAGAUGCGUAGAUAUAUGGAGGAACACCGGUGGCGAAAGCGGCUCUCUGGUCUGUAACUGACGCUGAGGCUCGAAAGCGUGGGGAGCAAACAGG
This 429-nucleotide ribosomal RNA is filed under the name Bacillota bacterium. Its description in RNAcentral is "Firmicutes bacterium partial 16S ribosomal RNA". It matches the Rfam family "Bacterial small subunit ribosomal RNA", at positions 355 to 776 of the family's 1533-position model. Lineage: Bacteria; Bacillati; Bacillota. The record is from RNAcentral.